CAGUACCGCGGGAAUACGAAGGGUGCAAGCGUUAAUCGGAAUUACUGGGCGUAAAGCGCACGUAGGCGGAUCGUUAAGUCGGGGGUGAAAUCCUGGAGCUCAACUCCAGAACUGCCUUCGAUACUGGCGAUCUUGAGUCCGGAAGAGGUGAGUGGAACUCCUAGUGUAGAGGUGGAAUUCGUAGAUAUUAGGAAGAACACCAGUGGCGAAGGCGGCUCACUGGUCCGGUACUGACGCUGAGGUGCGAAAGCGUGGGGAGCAAACAGGAUUAGAUACCCCUGUAGUCCCUGUCUCUUAUACA
This 301-nucleotide ribosomal RNA is filed under the name uncultured bacterium. RNAcentral's name for it is "partial 16S ribosomal RNA". It matches the Rfam family "Bacterial small subunit ribosomal RNA", at positions 509 to 808 of the family's 1533-position model. The record is from RNAcentral.